This 450-nucleotide ribosomal RNA is filed under the name uncultured Sphingobacterium sp. Its description in RNAcentral is "bacterial SSU rRNA". It matches the Rfam family "Bacterial small subunit ribosomal RNA", at positions 45 to 492 of the family's 1533-position model. The record is from RNAcentral. Lineage: Bacteria; Pseudomonadati; Bacteroidota; Sphingobacteriia; Sphingobacteriales; Sphingobacteriaceae.
GGCCUAACACAUGCAAGUCGAACGAUAUUAAAGGGCUUGCUCUUUAAGAAAGUGGCGCACGGGUGCGUAACGCGUAUGCAACCUACCUUAAUCAGGGGGAUAGCCCGAAGAAAUUCGGAUUAACACCGCAUAAAAACACAGGAUAGCAUUAUCCAAUGUUCAAAUAUUUAUAGGAUUAAGAUGGGCAUGCGUGUCAUUAGCUAGUUGGCGGGGUAACGGCCCACCAAGGCGACGAUGACUAGGGGAUCUGAGAGGAUGACCCCCCACACUGGUACUGAGACACGGACCAGACUCCUACGGGAGGCAGCAGUAAGGAAUAUUGGUCAAUGGAGGCAACUCUGAACCAGCCAUGCCGCGUGCAGGAAGACGGCCCUAUGGGUUGUAAACUGCUUUUAUCUGGGAAUAAACCUUUCUACGUGUAGGAAGCUGAAUGUACCAGAAGAAUAAGGA